UAGGGAAUCUUCCACAAUGGACGCAAGUCUGAUGGAGCAACGCCGCGUGAGUGAAGAAAGGUCUUCGGAUCGUAAAACUACUGUUGUUAGAGAAGAACGUGUGUGAGAGUGGAAAGUUCACACAGUGACGGUAACUUACCAGAAAGGGACGGCUAACUACGUGCCAG
RNAcentral lists this ribosomal RNA (167 nucleotides) under uncultured bacterium. RNAcentral's name for it is "partial 16S rRNA". It matches the Rfam family "Bacterial small subunit ribosomal RNA", at positions 355 to 511 of the family's 1533-position model. The record is from RNAcentral.